GAUGAACGCUGGCGGCGUGCCUAAUACAUGCAAGUCGAGCGAACAGACGAGGAGCUUGCUCCUUUGGCGUUAGCGGCGGACGGGUGAGUAACACGUGGAUAACCUACCUAUAAGACUGGGAUAACUUCGGGAAACCGGAGCUAAUACCGGAUAACAUGUUGAACCGCAUGGUUCAACAGCGAAAGACGGUCUUGCUGUCACUUAUAGAUGGAUCCGCGCCGCAUUAGCUAGUUGGUAAGGUAACGGCUUACCAAGGCAACGAUGCGUAGCCGACCUGAGAGGGUGAUCGGCCACACUGGAACUGAGACACGGUCCAGACUCCUACGGGAGGCAGCAGUAGGGAAUCUUCCGCAAUGGGCGAAAGCCUGACGGAGCAACGCCGCGUGAGUGAAGAAGGUCUUCGGAUCGUAAAACUCUGUUAUUAGGGAAGAACAAAUGUGUAAGUAACUAUGCACGUCUUGACGGUACCUAAUCAGAAAGCCACGGCUAACUACGUG
RNAcentral lists this ribosomal RNA (497 nucleotides) under uncultured bacterium. RNAcentral describes it as "partial 16S ribosomal RNA". It matches the Rfam family "Bacterial small subunit ribosomal RNA", at positions 28 to 507 of the family's 1533-position model. The record is from RNAcentral.